UAUUAUAAAAACUUUAACCAAAAGCUGUUCCAUCAUGUAAAGGGCGAUAACUUGAAUGUAUACUAGCGCCGUUUAUCAAGCGCCUUUAUACAGUGAUCAUCCACCAUUAAACGUGUUUUCUUGAAUACAAUGGCAUUCCCCGUAUAUCGUAGUGAAAAGGGAAAUUUUGUGACCACUGAAACCUCAAAUGGCAUAUCUAUUUCAGAAAGCUGGGAUUCGAUUUGCAAAAACAAAAGUUUGGGAGUGUUGAGAUAUGAGACGGCUAAUGUGUUGUCUAAAGAUUUGAUUGAACAACUUCCUGCCGAUGUAAUAUGCCUAAUUUGCCUUCAGAAACUGCGUGCAUGUAUAUUCCUUGAAUGUGGACAUCUACUUGUAUGCCAAGAUUGCCAGCAUUUCUACACAUCUUGUCCUGUUUGCCGCAAAAAAAUUAAGUCUUUUGUGCAUACCAUUUUGGAAUUGCCAUUUAGAUCUUAAUCAUGACAGUUACGGGCAUAGAAACUGAAUCUCACGCGCGUAAAACAACGAAGGGUUAAAAUUAAUGUGGACAUUUGUAUAAUAUCAAUUUAACAAUCUGCUUUUAAAACUUGAGAUUUUUUCAGAGGCUGGACAAUUCUGCUUUUCUUUCAUCGCCAUACUUUAUUUUAUUAAACCUACAGUGCAAUAAUGUGCUGCAACGUACAUAUUCAUUUUACUUCAUGCAUAGCUGUGAUCUGUUAAGUGUUAUCUGCUUUGUUUACAUGUUAUCAUAUUUUUUCUCUCAUUUGUUAUUUAUGUCCUCGUUUCAUCGUUUCUAAUUUCUAUCCAUUAUAUAGCUGUAAUUGGUUGUUUAUAACCUACAUGGUAAUGUUUUUUGUAUCGCAAAACAUUAUUAUACACAAAUCAAAUAAUAAUUCUAGUCAAUUACCAUGAAAAGAUGUGAAAAGGUCUCGCAAUCAAAAAUGUAAAUAUGAAUUGGAUAUUUUGUAGGGUCAGAAUUGCUAUAUGUUCCUUCAGGAUCAUUAAGGUGUGCAUGAUUGAAUAACGCUAAAGUCACUCGGUGUUACAGGGUCCGAGAGAUGUUGAGAUUCCCACCUUCUUUCAUUAAAAUGUAGUCUGCGAAUUUCAACUAUUUAUCGUUGCAUUUCAUUGGUAUAUACGAGUCUUCCUUCUCCAGAUUUAUUGCUCAAAAUAGCAAAUGUUGAGUACUGUGUGUAGGAUGUUAAAAUUGACUCUCCCUUCAUAAUUGUGUUGUUAUAUUGUUGAUAGUGUUUAGGAAUGAAUACAAUUGAAAUCGGUGCUAGAGAACGAGAGAGAUGUUGUAAUGUCCGUUAUUCCUCCUGAACAGUCUAAAAAAACUUGUGAUUAUUACCUUUUUAUAUUUUUGUUAAUAUUUCGGGGAUUCUCUUGUCAUGAAGAAUUUAUAACAAUAUUAAAACACUGUUGAAUUUCGUUAGAGAAACGACAAGGAGGAAAAUGUGUUGUUCUUGUUGUUAAAUUAUACAUUUAGCCAGUUAUAGAUUUAUUUCUUGAAAUAAUGCAUUUUAUUACACAACUUUUAUGCUCUCGUUUGAGUGAAAUAAGUUUUCUCAAAAACUAUGUUUGGAAAGCUGUUUUCCCUACUACGGGUCGAGUAAAGUUGGCCAUUUUUUUAAAACAAUGCCAGUUUUCUUAAAGGCACUAUUAUGUCCACCUAGUGUGUAAGUUUAAAACAUAACAUAUCUUUUUUGUGUUAAGCCAAAACAUUUAAUUUAUAUUUACAAAGAGACAGUGUAUAGCUACAUGUAUUUUCAAUAUUUUCACAUAUCAAAUUUUGCAUAUUAUAUCUUUAUAAUUAUGUUAAGUUAGUGCCAAAUGUUUGCCUUUUUUACGAUAAUAGAGAUAUUAUUUCAUUCACUGACAGUAUACAUUGUAUUUAGUGUGAAGAAUGAAUUAGAAAAGAUAUUCAUUUAUUUUAAUAAUUGUUUUUAUAGGGUAAUUAUUAAAAUUGUGUUACGUUUAUAGGGGUAUUUCUUUAAAUAA
Long non-coding RNA from Ruditapes philippinarum (Manila clam), 1998 nucleotides. RefSeq lists it as uncharacterized. The transcript has 3 exons. The record is from RefSeq and is a predicted model, not a curated record. Lineage: Eukaryota; Metazoa; Mollusca; Bivalvia; Venerida; Veneridae.